UACGUAGGGUGCGCGCGUUAAUCGGAAUUACUGGGCGUAAAGCGUGCGCAGGCGGUUCGCCAAGUCAGGGGUGAAAUCCCCGGGCUUAACCUGGGAAUUGCGCUUGAAACUAGCGGGUUUGAGUGUGGCAGAGGGGGGUGGAAUUCCACGUGUAGCAGUGAAAUGCGUAGAUAUUCGGAAGAACACCAGUGGCGAAGGCGACUCACUGGACAUGUAUUGACGCUGAGGUGCGAAAGCGUGGGGAGCAAACAGG
Molecule: ribosomal RNA, 253 nt
Filed under: uncultured bacterium
Lineage: Bacteria
Description: partial 16S ribosomal RNA
Rfam family: Bacterial small subunit ribosomal RNA
Source: RNAcentral